UGGGGAAUAUUGCACAAUGGGCGCAAGCCUGAUGCAGCCAUGCCGCGUGUGUGAAGAAGGCCUUCGGGUUGUAAAGCACUUUCAGCGGGGAGGAAGGCGUUAAGGUUAAUAACCUUGGCGAUUGACGUUACCCGCAGAAGAAGCACCGGCUAACUCCGUGCCAGCAGCCGCGGUAAUACGGAGGGUGCAAGCGUUAAUCGGAAUUACUGGGCGUAAAGCGCACGCAGGCGGUCUGUCAAGUCGGAUGUGAAAUCCCCGGGCUCAACCUGGGAACUGUAUUCGAAACUGGCAGGCUAGAGUCCUGUAGAGGGGGGUAGAAUUCCAGGUGUAGCGGUGAAAUGCGUAGAGAUCUGGAGGAAUACCGGUGGCGAAGGCGGCCCCCUGGACAAAGACUGACGCUCAGGUGCGAAAGCGUGGGGAGCAAACAGG
RNAcentral lists this ribosomal RNA (429 nucleotides) under Chloroflexota bacterium. RNAcentral describes it as "Chloroflexi bacterium partial 16S ribosomal RNA". It matches the Rfam family "Bacterial small subunit ribosomal RNA", at positions 355 to 776 of the family's 1533-position model. The record is from RNAcentral. Lineage: Bacteria; Bacillati; Chloroflexota.